Molecule: ribosomal RNA, 583 nt
Filed under: uncultured bacterium
Lineage: Bacteria
Description: partial 16S ribosomal RNA
Rfam family: Bacterial small subunit ribosomal RNA
Source: RNAcentral
UGGGGAAUUUUGGACAAUGGGCGAAAGCCUGAUCCAGCAAUGCCGCGUGUGUGAAGAAGGCCUUCGGGUUGUAAAGCACUUUUGUCCGGAAAGAAAUCCUUGGCUCUAAUACAGUCGGGGGAUGACGGUACCGGAAGAAUAAGCACCGGCUAACUACGUGCCAGCAGCCGCGGUAAUACGUAGGGUGCAAGCGUUAAUCGGAAUUACUGGGCGUAAAGCGUGCGCAGGCGGUUUGCUAAGACCGAUGUGAAAUCCCCGGGCUCAACCUGGGAACUGCAUUGGUGACUGGCAGGCUAGAGUAUGGCAGGAGGGGGGUAGAAUUCCACGUGUAGCAGUGAAAUGCGUAGAGAUGUGGAGGAAUACCGAUGGCGAAGGCAGCCCCCUGGGCCAAUACUGACGCUCAUGCACGAAAGCGUGGGGAGCAAACAGGAUUAGAUACCCUGGUAGUCCACGCCCUAAACGAUGUCAACUAGUUGUUGGGGAUUCAUUCCUUAGUAACGUAGCUAACGCGUGAAGUUGACCGCCUGGGGAGUACGGUCGCAAGAUUAAACUCAAUGAAUUGACGGGGUCAUAGCUGUUUCCU